RNAcentral lists this long non-coding RNA (851 nucleotides) under Eutrema salsugineum. Its description in RNAcentral is "long non-coding RNA (ESAL_LNC001948)". Lineage: Eukaryota; Viridiplantae; Streptophyta; Magnoliopsida; Brassicales; Brassicaceae. The record is from RNAcentral.
ACAAGAUGUCAUUUGUUAAAAGCCCGACUUGAAAACUCAAAAUAGGAAGCAAUUCAACGUCGUUUUGAUUGCAUACCUUUAGAGAUAUCACUAACCUAUCAACCCCUACUGCUUUUGAUUUUUAAUAUGUCCUUAAGCUGAUCCGGUCCUGACCUAAGCUCCAAUAAACUGGCGCACUUCUAAGCAUCAUCAAACAUUAAUAUCAUUUUAAGGGCGCAUCAUCACUGGACAUGUAAACGGCUGAGAAAACAUAAUUAGAUGUAUUAAUUUGAUAUUAUUAAUUAUAUAUAUAUAUAUAUAUAUUCUUGUGUAUUCACUUGGUAUAUCAAUUACGUAUAUUUGACCAUUAUAUGUAUAAAAAAAAUAUUGUACGUAGAACACUUUUAAGAAGUCUCAAAAAAAAAUUUGGAGAAAUCAUAAGUGAUAAUUAUAAACCAAGAAGAGGAUAUAACAUUAUAUAUUCAUCAAUAGACGCAUAUAAGAAAAAGAAAAUUGACAGCAGAAAGAUCAAUCAAAUAGAAAUUGAUGCAUUCUCUCUUUAAAGAAGCUUUUUCUCAUCACUCUUUCUUUGUCUCACCCUCCUUGUGUUUCCCCUUCUUCGGCUUGACGAAACAGAAGCAUGAACAACAAGGCAGCUGAAACAAAAACUUCAUCCUGAUUUAUAAUUGCACCAACAGUACAUCGAUGUCUGCCUUUUAUAUUUGAGCUUCAUUGCAAAUGAUAUUAUUAUUUUCCACAUCCAAUUUCAGUUUCUUUUUGGGUUUUCUUUAUUCGUUUCUGCUUUUUGGAUGCUUUUCAAACCAAGUUGAUUCCCCAAGAUAAGAAGAUGCCUCUGCCUCACACAACUUAGC